GUGCAGCAGGCGAGAAACCUCCGCAAUGCGGGAAACCGUGACGGGGUCACCCCGAGUGCCACCCGAUGAGGGUGGCUUUUCCCCGGUCUAAAAAGCCGGGGGCAAUAAGCGGGGGGCAAGUCUGGUGUCAGCCGCCGCGGUAAUACCAGCCCCGCGAGUGGUCGGGACGUUUAUUGGGCCUAAAGCGUCCGUAGCCGGCUCGGUAAGUCCCUCCUUAAAUCCACGGGCUCAACCCGUGGGCUGGGAGGGAUACUGCCGGGCUAGGGGGCGGGAGAGGCCGAGGGUACUCCCGGGGUAGGGGCGAAAUCCGUUAAUCCCGGGAGGACCACCAGUGGCGAAGGCGCUCGGCUGGAACGCGCCCGACGGUGAGGGACGAAAGCUGGGGGAGCAAAGGGGAUUAGAUACCCGGGUAGU
RNAcentral lists this ribosomal RNA (414 nucleotides) under uncultured microorganism. RNAcentral's name for it is "bacterial SSU rRNA". It matches the Rfam family "Archaeal small subunit ribosomal RNA", at positions 330 to 745 of the family's 1478-position model. The record is from RNAcentral.